AAAUCGCAGGGUUCGCGAAUUUCGCGAUAAGAACAAACACCAACCUACUCCCCCGCCCCCCGCUGAGCGAUGCCGUCUUGAUCGCCCCCUCCCAACCCCGGGAAAAGGGACACUACCUUUCUAUAUCAGUUGAAGAAAGGAUGAUGAAGCGUUAACAACGACAAUAACGGCCUUUUCGAACGAGUUGUCUUAUGGCCUCUGAGAUUUGCGCGCGAACCUGGGAGGCCAUAAUUGGCCGCUUAAUAGCAUAAAAAGACAAAGAUAAUGCCAAACGACACAACUAAAAAUUCAAACAAAGAACUGAUCUUAGCUAUACUGUUUGGGGAAAAGAAAUAAAAAAUUAGACAGCCGCAACACACGCCACUAAAGCCACCACCGCCGGCAUAACGCGGAAUCAACGGUUGGCAACAUUCAUUCGCGCGUCAUUGCUUCGUCCGCUUCGUCUCCGCAACGGCCACAACGAGAGCCGCCAUCUUCUCGCGCCUAACGUUUUGUAUGGUUUUGUUCUCUGCAAUCCGCGCACACAGCUCAUCGGUGGCUGCACGUCUGCUCGGCGUCGCAAUGCAACCUGCGUCAUUUUCUGGUGCUCGCGCAAUCGGUGUGAAACAUGUCGCAUGUGAAAUGUUUGAUAGAAGUGCCUCACGUCCAAGUCAAGCCGCCGUACGGGUGUAUGGCUGUGCGCCCCGUUCUCGGAAGCGUCGACGGGUUUCCGGCAUGCGGAUUUCAGCGUUUGGACUCGACUUUUGGUGAGGAUGUCGAUCGACCUUGGGCCUGGUGACAGCACACCCGACAUCGCCAAAGUGCAGCCUAUCAGUAGAGUGCCCCCGAAUGGACCAUCAACAUCGGAAAAUGAAGCAGAGCCAGGGGGAAAAGGUUCCGGUAACACCAUGCAUUCAGUAUGGUGGCCCAGAUGUGCAUGCAAGCAACCUCCUUCAUGUGGACCAAGAACUACUCUGCAGUGUCUCGCAGACUUCCAUGCGAAGCCCUCAACAUUCUCGUCUCAGUGGAAUGGCUGCUCAUCUAUCUGCGUGUCCAUCACCAAGACGGCCAGUUGUAAAGCUCCUGUACCCGUUUAAGAAAGCUUAAUGAUUGUUUUA
Molecule: long non-coding RNA, 1097 nt
Organism: Dermacentor albipictus
Lineage: Eukaryota; Metazoa; Arthropoda; Arachnida; Ixodida; Ixodidae
Source: RefSeq, a predicted model, not a curated record